RNAcentral lists this ribosomal RNA (465 nucleotides) under Vreelandella stevensii. Its description in RNAcentral is "partial 16S ribosomal RNA". It matches the Rfam family "Bacterial small subunit ribosomal RNA", at positions 338 to 795 of the family's 1533-position model. The record is from RNAcentral. Lineage: Bacteria; Pseudomonadati; Pseudomonadota; Gammaproteobacteria; Oceanospirillales; Halomonadaceae.
CCUACGGGAGGCAGCAGUGGGGAAUAUUGGACAAUGGGCGAAAGCCUGAUCCAGCCAUGCCGCGUGUGUGAAGAAGGCCUUCGGGUUGUAAAGCACUUUCAGUGGGGAAGAAAGCCUUGGGGCUAAUACCCUCGAGGAAGGACAUCACCCACAGAAGAAGCACCGGCUAACUCCGUGCCAGCAGCCGCGGUAAUACGGAGGGUGCGAGCGUUAAUCGGAAUUACUGGGCGUAAAGCGCGCGUAGGCGGUCUGAUAAGCCGGUUGUGAAAGCCCCGGGCUCAACCUGGGAACGGCAUCCGGAACUGACAGGCUAGAGUGCAGGAGAGGAAGGUAGAAUUCCCGGUGUAGCGGUGAAAUGCGUAGAGAUCGGGAGGAAUACCAGUGGCGAAGGCGGCCUUCUGGACUGACACUGACGCUGAGGUGCGAAAGCGUGGGUAGCAAACAGGAUUAGAUACCCCGGUAGUC